RNAcentral lists this microRNA precursor (98 nucleotides) under Nomascus leucogenys (northern white-cheeked gibbon). RNAcentral's name for it is "miRNA (ENSNLEG00000034430.1)". Lineage: Eukaryota; Metazoa; Chordata; Mammalia; Primates; Hylobatidae. The record is from RNAcentral.
UGAGGCAGGAGAAUUGCUUGAACCCAGGAGGUGGAGGCUGCAGUGAGCCAAGAUCGUGCUACUGUACUCCAGCCUGGGUGACAGAGCGAAACUCCGUC